This 253-nucleotide ribosomal RNA is filed under the name uncultured bacterium. Its description in RNAcentral is "partial 16S ribosomal RNA". It matches the Rfam family "Bacterial small subunit ribosomal RNA", at positions 524 to 776 of the family's 1533-position model. The record is from RNAcentral.
UACAGAGGGUGCGAGCGUUGUCCGGAAUCACUGGGCGUAAAGGGCGCGUAGGCGGCGCGGUAAGCGUGCGGUGAAAGCCCGGGGCUCAACCCCGGGUCGGCCGUGCGGACUGCCGGGCUGGAGCACUGUAGAGGCAGGUGGAAUUCCGGGUGUAGCGGUGGAAUGCGUAGAGAUCCGGAAGAACACCGGUGGCGAAGGCGGCCUGCUGGGCAGUAGCUGACGCUGAAGCGCGACAGCGUGGGGAGCAAACGGG